This is a long non-coding RNA of Thamnophis elegans (Western terrestrial garter snake), 1180 nucleotides long. RefSeq lists it as uncharacterized. The record is from RefSeq and is a predicted model, not a curated record. NCBI's taxonomy places the organism in Eukaryota, Metazoa, Chordata, Lepidosauria, Squamata, Natricidae. The transcript has 3 exons.
UUGAUCAUGUAACCAUAAGGAUGCUGCAAAGGUCCUAGUGCCAUUGUAACUUUGGUGACUAAAUAAAAGGUUAUGAGUUGGUAUACAUUCUUUCAUCUGUGGAUGUCCUUUUUAUCUUUCAUGCAGCAUCCUUAAGCAUGGGAUUUCAUUUCUGUGCCAAUCUGUGCCUGGUAGUGACUAACUGAUAAUAGAGUCCUUCUCUUGAAAGGCUGGAUUCAAGGAUACAUGCCAUGCCUCCUUAUCACUUUCCUAAUAAAUGAAGGGCCAGUCUGUUGGAAGAACAGAUUCUAGCUCAAUUCAAUAUCAAAGCUAUAAUGUGUUUUUUCUAAGAAUGCAUCUGUAAUGAUUUCACACUAUGAAGGAUACCAUACGUAUUGUAGUCAUUCUCAUCAGUUGUAAAACAAUUAUUUCUGUAUUGUGGAUCUUUUUUAGUGUAUAUGCAUGCCCAUGUUGCCUUUAACAUUUUAUAGAAGAUCUGCAUAAGCUUGUGGCGCUUACCUUGUCGAGUGCAGAAGAUCAGUGACUCAUUAUAUGUGGCUAGCUUGGGAAAUAUAUCUAUGGAGAUUCUCAGUCAUUCAAGUCAUGGUUGUCCAAAGGUGCUUUUUGUUUUUCCUUGAAGAUGUUUCGCUUCUCAUUCAAGAAGCUUCUUCAAAUCCUGAAUCAAUUGUUCAGGGCCAGGCUUCUACCCAAUUUUUUUUGCCAUGGCCAAUAGGAUGGGGGUACUGUAAGGGAGAGGCCUCUUUUUACAUGGAAGAUGGGACUCGAGUGGUUUUUCUUACCCUCUCCUAUUUGGAUGUUUCAAUCUCCUAACACAGAUGGUUGAGUGUUUUCUAUUCUUUUUUCCCUGAUGGUUUUCUUUUUUUCUGUGAUUUUAUUCUGUAGGAGUCAGUUGCAGGAUUUGGGAGGAGGUUAAGAACACGUCCUGAGAGGCCUGUAAAAAAGAAAAGACGCUUAUGAAGAAACAACACAAUCAAAGGUUCCAAAUGGCCAGAAAACCAAGAACAAAAUUCCCAAAUCUGGAGGGUACUGCUAAAGGGAAAUUCAGACUGGAUGCCAAAAUGGGAAGAGAUAGUGAAGGUUAAUACUAAAGAACUGGAUAUUGGAUGGAGUAGAUGGUGACUUACCGACCACACUGCAAUUUGGAAGAUGAAGGUAAGACAUCAGUAGCGACUUUGGAAGA